AUUGGCGUUCGUGUUGGAGGACCAAUCCAUGGACUCGUCGUGUAUCCGGGAGUGGGCUCAUCAUCAAUAUAGAGCCUCGUAUGGUGGAGUAGUUCUCGUUCAGUCCCAUUAAGAACUGCAUGACUCUCUCUUUCUCUUCCCUGUCUGCAUGUGCCUUGGAUCCUUCGCAUUCACAAGCAAUGGGCUCAUGGUAUGAUGCUAAUUCAUCCCAAAGAGCUUUUAAUUUUGUGUAAUAAUCUGAAACAGAUAGCUGUCCUUGUCGGUGUUCGACAAUCUCUUGUCGAAUUUGAUAGAUCCUGGAAUCGUUGC
Molecule: long non-coding RNA, 309 nt
Filed under: Malus domestica (apple)
Lineage: Eukaryota; Viridiplantae; Streptophyta; Magnoliopsida; Rosales; Rosaceae
Description: long non-coding RNA (MDOM_LNC006417)
Source: RNAcentral